UUCUGUAGUUCUGACUUAUAAAUGCCUUGCCAGCUUAAGUUAUACAUUUAUAAUUUAUAAUUAAGCAUUAAAUUUCAUUUAAGGUUCCUUAAAAAUGUUUUUGUUCCGCUUAAAAAAUCUUAUAAAGCCCAUUUCCAGCUGAUUUUUUAACUUAACAAACAUGAGAACCUACAGGUAAGCAUUGAAAAAGUUAGAAACUUUCAUAAUUUAAUAUUUUUUCUUUACAGUUUCCUGAUUCUGGCAAUUUUGGCAACAAUAAAACUGCAAGAAAUUCUAUCCAGUCAGCCAGGGCCAUGUCGCAAGUUGUCCCAAACCUUUAAUACAACCAAACUAAAAGGCAAAUUGAUACAUCGAUCGAUCUAUCUGGAUGUUUUUUCCACUAGAAAGCAUAAGAGUGUACCCCUAAAUUUAUGCACCCAAAUGGAUUUUCCGAAUCCAAAACAGAAAAAUGCUAAGAUUAUAGGCACCGAUGAUCAGAAUUUUGUGGUUCUGUAUGAGUGUCAUUACUAUCCGGUUACAAAAUCACACAGAGAGUUUGUUAACACUUACACUAGGUUGAGGACUCCCAAAGAAGAUACCCUAAAGAAAAUAAGCAAAGCCUUUACUGAUAAUGGUUUGUAUGAAAAGCAGGUCUUAUUGAUGUGCAGUUAAAGUGGAAAAGUGCUUGUAAUGGGUUAAAGAUUUUAUUAUAUUAUAUUCAUAGAUAUAUUUUAUUCAAAUUCAAUAAACGGAUGUGUAAUUUCUACCCAGGUCUUACGGUAAAAAUGAACUUUAAAUGCUUUUUAAACUUUUGUAAUUGUUAAUCAGGCGAAGAAAUUUCACAUUUGAUUUGGUGGAAAUUGUGUUUUUUCACUUAAUAAUAAAUAGUGCUAAUAAAAAACACAUUCUUGGCCAAAAAGUGAGAUAAUUUAAGCAGGAUUUUCCCGUAAACAAAGAGAAAUAUGUAAGAUGAAUUGAAAUACUGAUAUGGCGAUGUUUUAAUGCUUUACAAGUUUGCGGAUUUUAAUGAUUGCCUAAUGAUUGCCCCUCCCUGAAGCCUGUUGAAGGUUGAAGCAGAUAUUAGGUUGUCAAAAAAGUCUUGCGGGUGGCCCACGUAAAAUUUGCGUUCGCUAUAAAAAUAUCAAAUUUUCCCAAUUUUCUUCAAGCGUAAACUUAACCAUUUUGUAAACCGCAAACCUUCUACUAAAUAUCUAAGACAUUGACAAUGAUAUUUGGAAUAUCAAAGUCAAAAUUAUUGAUAGUUCAAAAAGCAAACGCUACAUGGGCCAACCUGUAUAACUUAAACUUAAACUAAGUGGAACAUCAAUAGCUCGUCUUUUAUUCUGCUAUUUCAGAACAAAAUGUUAGAAGGGACAAAGAUCUUAGUUUUAUGCACUCUCUCAGUUUUUCUACAAUCCACACUGAAAAGUGUUAAGGCAAUGCUUACGGAGAGCUUUCUGGUUCUGAACAAGUCUGAGUACGAGUUCAAUGCCUUGUUAGAAAACUAAGUUGCUUAGUAAUUUACCCUCAAUGAUAAACAGCUGCAACGUUAUAAUAUUUUCAGUUCAAAGUUGACUGACACUUGGAAGCAUUCACUAACCUGGCCAAGCUGUAGGCCUAAAAUGUUGUUACUUUGUCAAUAAAAUAGAAUGCCAGAAACUAAUUCUAUCAUCUCAUGUAAAAUAAACUAUAAAAAAUAAGCUCU
Molecule: long non-coding RNA, 1684 nt
Organism: Drosophila eugracilis
Lineage: Eukaryota; Metazoa; Arthropoda; Insecta; Diptera; Drosophilidae
Exons: 3
Source: RefSeq, a predicted model, not a curated record